RNAcentral lists this ribosomal RNA (78 nucleotides) under Nostoc sp. UCD121. Its description in RNAcentral is "partial 16S ribosomal RNA". It matches the Rfam family "Bacterial small subunit ribosomal RNA", at positions 1 to 77 of the family's 1533-position model. Lineage: Bacteria; Bacillati; Cyanobacteriota; Cyanophyceae; Nostocales; Nostocaceae. The record is from RNAcentral.
CAAAACGGAGAGUUUGAUCCUGGCUCAGGAUGAACGCUGGCGGUAUGCUUAACACAUGCAAGUCGAACGGUGUCUUCG